Platichthys flesus (European flounder) is the source of this 391-nucleotide long non-coding RNA. RefSeq lists it as uncharacterized. The transcript is spliced from 4 exons. NCBI's taxonomy places the organism in Eukaryota, Metazoa, Chordata, Actinopteri, Pleuronectiformes, Pleuronectidae. The record is from RefSeq and is a predicted model, not a curated record.
CUACCAAGAACUUGUCAGAUUGCCUGACUUUUCUGAUUGCAUGGAAGACACGCCUACCCACGGCGGCGUGAGGGAUACAUACACGAAAAGUAAUUUCCUGGACAAGCAGACGAGCAGCUCUGAGUCCAGGUGAACAACAUUAUUCCUUAACUGUGGGUCGCUCAUCAUAGACAUCCGACUGUAAACACAGCCAGCACUCAAUCUGAAGCGUCCUGCUCUGAUCUGCUCACUGACUCCGUUCGGCCCAGGAUGGACAGAUACCAGGAGCAGGGAAGAGGAUAACUCCUCGCAGGUGGUGGUACCGGGCCAUGUACACUGCUUAACCUCAGCCCACUGAACCUGCCGACGAAGGAGAGAGUAAAAUGUUUAUUCUGCAGCCCACAGCACUGAG